UAUGCGGAAUACAAGAUCAUGCCUGCUGACUGCAGAUAUUUGAAAUGGACCAUAUAUAAACAAACACUUCAGUUUUCUUAAAUACGCAGGAACCUUAGUAUCAAUAACGUUAUUAAUGCAUACUGGUUUUUUAGCGAUUCGAAGUGGCUGGUGGAGCUAAAGUAAGUGGUCCCACGUCGCCGUUUUUGAGACGAUAAAAGGGCACAAAUGCCGCAAGCUGGAUUGGCUUUGAUACGGUGAUAGUCUGAAAAGAAUACAACAUUCAGAUUAAGCAGAGCUGCUGUCUAUGGCCUGUUUUGCAUGAAUUGUAUGUAAAGGUCUGUUCGUACGUGCCUUGUAGUGCAGUGGCGUUGAUCAUUGAGAAUGUGAAGUUCACCGUCCUGGCUGUUCCCGGCUUGUUCAGCUCAAAAGUCACCGAGGAGCUAAAGGUGGAGUUUGCUCGUUUUGUGAAAUCCCGGUUUGCCCAACUCAAAUACCAAUAUUGCUUGAUAUUGGGGAUCACUCCGGCCCACCGUCUGUUGAUACUUUCCGUCGGCCAGUUUCACAAAAGUCUGUCGUUCUCCACCCAGCGUAACCGAUAAUGGUACCCCUAAAGGUCAACUGGUUAGUUUGGCUCCGCAUGCACACGCCAGGCCUACCAAUCCAAAUUAUAUAAACCAGCCUCAUCAAUUCAGCAAAAGAACAUUAUUUGGUUACAUUCCGGUUAGAAGAAAUCUUUUUCUGUAGCCCACCUUGAACCCCGGUAGUCAAAUUGAUCAUAUUCGUUUGCUGCGCCCAUAUCAUGUCAUAGCUUCCCAAAAACGGAUCCAGCGACCAUGUCGAAGAGUAGUCAUCAGCACUGAACACCGAUACAAGGCAUAAAGCUGUAACAAAUUGGGAAAGUUCAUUUUAUGCUUGGUUUAUUUUAUCAACGAUCAUCAGUUUGUCGCAAAAAAAGCUAAAAAAAACUGGUGAC
Paramacrobiotus metropolitanus is the source of this 955-nucleotide long non-coding RNA. RefSeq lists it as uncharacterized. Lineage: Eukaryota; Metazoa; Tardigrada; Eutardigrada; Parachela; Macrobiotidae. The record is from RefSeq and is a predicted model, not a curated record. The transcript is spliced from 3 exons.